Molecule: ribosomal RNA, 2231 nt
Filed under: human oral metagenome
Description: bacterial LSU rRNA
Rfam family: Bacterial large subunit ribosomal RNA
Source: RNAcentral
ACGGGUGACCACGUACCUAUUGACGAAUGGGUCAGCGAGUUAUUAGUAGUAGCAAGGUUAAGGCAGUUAUAGCUGGAGCCGUAGCGAAAGCGAGUCUGAAUAGGGCGAUAGUUAUUAUUAAUAGACCCGAAGCGGUAUGAGCUAGACAUGGGCAGGUUGAAGGCAUAGGAAACUAUGCUGGAGGACCGAACGGGUUGGUGCUGCAAAACCUUCCGAUGACCUGUGUUUAGGAGUGAAAAGCUCAUCGAAUACCGUGAUAGCUGGUUCUCUCCGAAAUGCAUUUAGGUGCAGCCUGUAUUUUAAGGUCUUGAAGAGGUAGAGCUCUGGAAAGGCUAGGGGUGUCGAGAGACAUUACCAAACCUUACUAAACUUCGAAUGCUUCAAGGAAUAUUGCAGAGUGGGACUACGGGAGCAAGUUUCGUAGUCAAAAGGAUAACAGUCCAGACUUCUGAUUAAGGUCCCUAAAGUAAUGCUAAGUGGAAAAAGAGGUGUCUUUACUUAUACAUCCAGGAGGUUUGCCUAGAAGCAGCAAUCCUUUAAAGAAAGCGUAACAGCUCACUGGACUAGCGAAGAUGCGCUGAAGAUGUAACGGGGCUAAGCAUUAUACCGAAAUCGAAGACCAGUGUAGUAAUACACUGUGUGGUAGGAGAGUGUUCUUACAGGAUGAAGCUACAUCGCGAGAUGUGGUCGACUAGUAAGAAGUAAAAAUGCUGACAUGAGUAACGCUUAUUGAUGAAAAUUCAAUAUAUCGAAACCCUAAGGAUUCCUACGCAACGUUCAUCGUCGUAGGGUUAGUCGGGACCUAAGGCUUAUCCAGAAAUGGAGAGUCGAUGGAUAACUGGUUAAUAUUCCAGUACUUAUAUAAAGAGUGAUGGAGUAACGCAUUGAGAUUUGUGAGAGCUCAUUAAGGAUUUGAGUCGAAAGAGUGAGGUUUUUAUAACCUUAGGUUAUAAAGGUAGUUGCAGGAAAAUCCACAGCUAUUGAUACUGAGUUUGAUCGGGAUUCAAUUCCUCGGAAUUGGAAAUUCUCAUCGUUUUGGUGCCGAGAAAAACCUCUAAACUUAAUCUAUAUGUAACCCGUACCCAGAUCAGACACUUGUGGGGUGGUAGAGAAUACUAAGAUAAUCGAGAUAACUAAUGGGUAAGGAACUUGGCAAAUUAGCGGACGUACUUUCGAAAUAAGUCCUGUCCCGAGCAAUCGGGAUCGCAGCGAAAGAGAUGGGGGGAACUGUUUAUCAAAAACACAGCUCGCUGCUAACUCGUAAGAGGAUGUAUAGCGGGUGAUGCCUGUCCAAUGCCAGAAUGUUAUGCUCUCUUGUGCAAGCUCGAGGGUUAAGCACUGGUGAAUGACGGCCGUAAGUAUGACGGUCCUAAGGUAGCGAAAUUCCUUGUCAGGUAAGUUCUGACGCGCAUGAAUGGCAUAAUCAUCCCCAUGCUGUCUUACCCUUAAACUCGGUGAAAUUACAUUCCCGGUAAAAAUGCCGGGUAGUCACAGUUAGACGGAAAGACCCUGUGAAGCUUUACUGUAGAUUGAUAUUGGAUUGUAGCAUGUUUUGCUCAGUAUAGGUGGGAGGCUUUGAUGUUUCGACUUCGGUUGGGGCGGAGCCAAUAGUGAGAUACCACCCAAGAUAUGUAGCAAUUCUAAUCCCUAGGUUGGGAGACAGUUUCAGUUGGACAGUUUACCUGGGGCGGGUGCCUCCUAAAAAGUAGCGGAGGCGUGCAAAGGUUUGCUUACUACGGAUGGAAACCGUGGUGAAUGUGUAUUCGCAUAAGCAAGCUUGACUGUGAGACUGACAGGUCGAGCAGAUACGAAAGUAGGCGAAAGUGAUCCGGAUCUUCCGAGUGGAAGGGGAUCCGCUCAACGGAUAAAAGUUACUCCGGGGAUAACAGGCUAAUGGAAUCUAAGCGUUCACAGCGACGAUUCCGUUUGGCACCUCGAUGUCGACUCGUCGCAUCCUGGGGCUGUAGAAGGUCCCAAGGGUUGGGUUGUUCACCCAUUAAAGCGGGACGCGAGCUGGGUUCAGAACGUCGUGAGACAGUUCGGUCCCUAUCUACUGUGACCGUAGGAUAUUUGAGAGAUGCUGACCCUAGUACGAGAGGACCGGGUUGGACGAGCCUCUGAUAGUACCAGUUGUUCCGCCAGGAGCACCGCUGGAUAGUUAAGCUCGGAAAAGGUAACCGCUGAAAGCAUCUAAGUGGGAAACUUGUCUCAAGAUUAGAUAUCCCUCUUCU